Long non-coding RNA from Hypanus sabinus (Atlantic stingray), 3780 nucleotides. RefSeq lists it as uncharacterized. Lineage: Eukaryota; Metazoa; Chordata; Chondrichthyes; Myliobatiformes; Dasyatidae. The record is from RefSeq and is a predicted model, not a curated record. The transcript is spliced from 3 exons.
UUUGAAUGUGUUUGCUGCACACAGUGGCCCGUGGAUCGCCAGCAGGAUAAAAUGCUGCCACUCGAUUCUGCAGAUUUGUUGUUUCGUGUAAGGGGAGGAAUUAAUCUGGGUGGAUUCGUGAGCAAAACAGAUGGCUCCCUCCCCCACCUUGGGAAACAUCCUUUCAUCUGCUCUGUAUGGGCCUUUCAACAUCCGGUGUUCUCUACCCAUGGAACAUGACAGUGGUGUACUUGUCACGUGACAGGUGUUGAAGCUAUACUGGACUUGAGGUAAUAGUCUUGCGAUGGUGGAGUGAUGUCAUUUUCCCACCAGUAGAGGUCAUGUGACAGGUUUUUUUUUACAGGGUAUAAAAGGAGGACCCCUCCCUGUGAGGAGGGGCAGUUUGUGGCUGGAUUUGCCAUGUUGACUUCAUGCCAUUGCGUGAUUUAAUGUUAUGACGCAGUUUAGUUGAAAGAUGGAGUUUUAGUUAAUGCCUAAAGUUUAAAAGGUCAUUGCCAGCAGUUUGUUUAUAAUACUGCUAGUUGAGAAUUAGUGGAGAGUGAAGAUCGAAGUUUGGGUGUUCAAAGAUCGAGGAAAAUCGAUUUCGACGGUGAAACGUGUUCGACCUUGUUUGAUCCUCAUUUGGAAGGAAUUUGUCGACUAUGCUCGUGUUAAUCCCUGUGAAUAGCAGAAAGGAUUAAGUACAGUUUUGUAAAGGAAAGGUCAGUGCCUUUAAGCCAUUUCAAUUUUCACCUUCGUAAAAUUCUUCGUGGGAAAAGUAGUUCGACUGGGAAUCGCAACAAGACGACGUGAAAGAGAAUUUAAAUCGUCUUAAAAAGUCUCUGCCUUAAAUGGACUGUAAGAAUUUUGAACUUUUGCAAUACUACUUUGAAGAACUGUUUUUGCGACAUCGCUUUAAGAACUGUUUGAGCUUCCUUGCUUUAAGAACUGUUCAAGCUACCGUACAGCAGCUGAUUUCCAGUUACGUUAGUGGUUUGUUUACUUUUGGGGGUUUGUUUUUCAGUGUUUAAUAAAUGUUUUAUUUGUUAUAAAAACCCCUGCCUCACUCAUAUAUUUAUUGUUGCUGAGUCUGUAACACCGGAGUGAUUCAAUAAGAUCCACCCUCAUCCUUCUAAAUUCCAGCAAGUACAAGCCCAGAAUGAUCAAACGUUCCAGAUAUGAUAAACCUUUCAUUCCUGUAAUCAUCUUUGUGAGCCUCCUCUGAAACCUCUCCAAUGCCAGCACAUUUUUUCUCAGAAAAGGAACCCAAAACUGUUCACAGUACUCAUGGUGAGGCCUCACCAGUGCCUUAUAAAGCCUCAGUAUCACAUCCCUGCUCUUGUAUUCUAGAUCUCUUGAAAUGAAUGCUAACAUUGUAUUUGCCUUUCUCACCACCGACUUUACCUGCAAGUUAACCUUUGGGUAUUCUACACAAGGACUCUCACCUUUGCAUCUCAUAAAAUUUUUGAUUUUCUCCCUGUUUUAAAAAAAAUAUAUAGUCUGCACAUUUAUUUCUCUUACCAAAGCACAUGUCCAUACACAUUCCAAUGUUGUACUUCAUUUGCCACUUUUUUGGCCACUUUCCUAAUCUGUUUAAGUCCUUCUGCAGCCUACCUGUUUCCUCAACACUACCUGCCCCUCCACCAAUCAUAUCAUCUGCAAACUUGGUGACAAAACCAUCUAUUCCAUCAUGUAAAUCAUUGAUAUACUGCUUAAAAAGAAGUGGUCCCAACACUGACCCCUGUGGAACACCAUUAGUCACUGACAGAAAAGGAGCCUUUUAUUCCCACUCACUGCCUCCUACCAGACAGGCAAUGCUCCAACCAUGCUAGUAACUUUCUUGUAAUACCAUGGGUCUUAACUUGGUAAGCAGCCCCAUGUGUGGCACCAUGACAAAGGCGUUCUGAAAGUCCAAAUAUCCAACAUCCACUGCAUCCCCUUUAUCUAUCCUACUUGUAAUCUCCUCAAAGAAUUCCAAUAGGUUCAUCAGACAAGAUUUUUCCUUAAGGAAACCAUACUGACUUUGUCCUAACUUGUCCUGUGUAACCAAGUACUCCAUAACCUCAUCCUUAACAAUUGACUCCAUCAUCUUCCCAACCACUGAAGUCAGGCUAACUGACCUACAAUUUACUUUCUGCUGCCUUCCUCCUUUCUUAAAGAGUGGACUGAUAUUUGCAGUUUUCCAGUCCUCUGGUACCGUACCAGAGUCCAAUAAUUUUUGAAAGAUUGUUUCUAAUGCCGCCACAUUCUCUAACACUACCUCUUUCAGAAUUGUAGGGUGCAGAUCAGCUGGUCCGGGUGAUUUAUGUACCCCUAGGUCUUUCAGCUAUUUGAGCACCUUCUCACUUGUAACUGCACUCGCUUCUCUUCCCUCACAUCAUUCAACACCUGGUACACUGUUGUCUUCCACAGUGAAGACUGAAGCAAAAGACUCAUAUUGUUCAUCUGCCAUCUCCUUGUCCACAGUUAUUAUUCCUCCGGUCUCAUUUUCUAGUGGUCCAUAUCCAUUCUCAUCUUUCUUAUUUUUUAUAUACUUAAAAAAAAAAGCUUUUUCUGUCCACCUUGAUAUUGUUUGCUAGCUUGCUUUCAUAUUUCAUCUUUUCCCUCCUAAUGAUUCUUUUGGUUGCUUUCUGUAGGUUUUUAAAACCUUUACAAUCUUCCAUCAUCCUGCUAAUUUUUGCUUUGUUGUAUGCCCUCUGUUUUGCUUUUAUGCUAGCUUUGACUUCCUUGACAUCCAUUGAGUAUUUCUUUGUUUUUUGAGUACAUCUAUCCUGCACCUUCCUUGUUUUUGCCAGACAAGACACGACGACUAACCAGUCCCUUGCCUCCCCAUGCCACCUGCUUGCAUGAACAUUCGAUCCUGGGACACAAUGAUUGGAUGAAUCUGACAACAAUAGAUGUCCUUCAUCAACUAUUCACAUCACUGGCUUUUUAGUGUGGAGCAAAGGCCUGAACUGCAGAUGUACUGAUCACCUAUCAAUGUCGCUAGACUUUGAAAGUGAAGUGGAGGCCUAAACUCUAACUCCUGUAUUCCUGUCCCUAAACCCCAACCUGUCCUCUCUUUCCACUCUUUGUCCCUGGAAUCAUCCCUACAAACUUAAAAAAAACAAUUAAGUUCUAGCCACGAUUUCAACCUUAACAUGCGCAUCAUACAAUGGAACAGACUUAUCAGGAGUAAACUGGAAUAGUAUUGAAGUAAUGAAAAGCUAAAUAAUGGUUUUAGCAGAAACCAAUAGGUUUCGUCAUGAAAAUGAGGAUUUGUUAUCAAAGAGGCAUUUAAUAAUUAGUGUAAUUAUGUGGUUCAAAUGUUAGUUUAAGAUUGCAUAAGGUAACAACUGAAAAACAGUUUGCUUCAGCCUCAAACUCUGAUAGGGAGGAGAAUGGACUUGGAGUUCGUGGUGGGGUCAGGAGGUCUGUGCCUUGGCAGCCACAUUUUUGAUUACUUAAUAUCCAUUAGUGGAUGAGAGAUGAGCAGACUUGAUAGGGCAGGCUUAAGGGAGGUGGUGAGAGAGAACUCGGUGAAGUCUUGUCAGAAAUGCAGAAACUUUCAUUGCUUUUUCAUUGUCAUUGAGGGCAGACUGUUGAGAAGGAAUAGCUGGAAUGAAGGUCCUUGGGGGAAAACAGAGGUAAUAGCUUUGGAGAUGGAUGCAAAGACAUUGUGAAUGUUUUCAUUUUUUGGAUAUAGUUGGAUAGCUAAGUGCAAGGCAUAAGCACUUUUGCCCUGCUAGAUAAUCCAGAGGAUGCUAUGUCAACUAUGUAAUUGUAUAACUAAAUUUUAAGUAUGAAUAUUGGGAUUUACAG